AUGCAGUAAGCUUCAAUUUGAGAAAUUCUCUUGGUGGCAGAAGCACAGCCUCAUUGAGAUGUGAUCCACGGCUGGAGGAGGAGAGCCCUGCCGAAGCUUCCAAGAAUCUCCCAAGUGUGAUUCCCUCUAUGCCCACUGCCAACUGACUGUGCCUCUGUGGUUGCACUCGAUGCCCAAACACUAAACGUUCCUGCUUUCUGCUCCCCAUUGUGGCUCUGGGCCGAGUCAUUAGGAGACGUCUGUGAGUAAAAGCAUGUCCUUUGUCUACACUACAUUCUGGGAUGACAGCGCUAUCAAAACAGAAGGGAAAAGCACCUCUGUCUUUGUUUCUCUGAAGAACAACACACAUGAUAUUAUAGAUGCUCGUGUUAUGAAUCUUCAUACAAUGAUACAGUACAUUCAGUGCCCUUGAUUGUGUUUAAUCCUCCAAACAUCCUUUUGAAAUAUUAUUCCCAUUUUUGAAAGAUGAAAUUGAGGCUCAGCACUGCCAAGUGACUCAUCUGAGUUCAUUUAGCUGUGAAUGGCACCGUGACACCUUGAACUCAGGAUUUUUGCCUCCUUGCUCUAUGUCCCAGCUGCCUCAACUUGUUAAUUUCUAUGAAGCCUGGAUUUACUUUGGUCCUGAUUCUUUGGAAUAUUAAAUGCACAUUCUUUG
This is a long non-coding RNA of Hyaena hyaena (striped hyena), 655 nucleotides long. RefSeq lists it as uncharacterized. Lineage: Eukaryota; Metazoa; Chordata; Mammalia; Carnivora; Hyaenidae. The record is from RefSeq and is a predicted model, not a curated record. The transcript is spliced from 2 exons.